RNAcentral lists this ribosomal RNA (274 nucleotides) under uncultured bacterium. Its description in RNAcentral is "partial 16S ribosomal RNA". It matches the Rfam family "Bacterial small subunit ribosomal RNA", at positions 523 to 796 of the family's 1533-position model. The record is from RNAcentral.
AUACGGAGGGUGCAAGCGUUAAUCGGAAUUACUGGGCGUAAAGAGUACGUAGGUGGUUCGUUAAGUCAGAUGUGAAAGCCCAGGGCUCAACCUUGGGACUGCAUUUGAAACUGGCGAACUCGAGUAUGGUAGAGGGGGGUAGAAUUCAUAGUGUAGCGGUGAAAUGCGUAGAUAUUAUGAGGAAUACCAGUGGCGAAGGCGGCCCCCUGGACCAAUACUGACACUGAGGUACGAAAGCGUGGGGAGCGAACAGGAUUAGAUACCCGAGUAGUCC